CCUACGGGUGGCAGCAGUGAGGAAUAUUGGUCAAUGGACGAGAGUCUGAACCAGCCAAGUAGCGUGAAGGAUGACUGCCCUAUGGGUUGUAAACUUCUUUUAUAUGGGAAUAAAAUGUUCCACGUGUGGGAUUUUGUAUGUACCAUAUGAAUAAGGAUCGGCUAACUCCGUGCCAGCAGCCGCGGUAAUACGGAGGAUCCGAGCGUUAUCCGGAUUUAUUGGGUUUAAAGGGAGCGUAGGUGGAUUGUUAAGUCAGUUGUGAAAGUUUGCGGCUCAACCGUAAAAUUGCAGUUGAAACUGGCAGUCUUGAGUACAGUAGAGGUGGGCGGAAUUCGUGGUGUAGCGGUGAAAUGCUUAGAUAUCACGAAGAACUCCGAUUGCGAAGGCAGUUCACUGGACUGCAACUGACACUGAGACUCGAAAGUGUGGGUAUCAAACAGGAUUAGAUACCCGUGUAGUC
Molecule: ribosomal RNA, 460 nt
Filed under: uncultured bacterium
Lineage: Bacteria
Description: partial 16S ribosomal RNA
Rfam family: Bacterial small subunit ribosomal RNA
Source: RNAcentral